GCCCGAUUAGCUCAGCUGGUUAGAGCGUCGUACUAAUAUCACCUUCAAGGUAUAUUCAGUCAUGCGAAGGUCAACAGUUCAAUCCUGUUAUUGGGCA
RNAcentral lists this transfer RNA (97 nucleotides) under Cercophora samala. RNAcentral describes it as "tRNA-Ile". Lineage: Eukaryota; Fungi; Ascomycota; Sordariomycetes; Sordariales; Lasiosphaeriaceae. The record is from RNAcentral.